UCCUAUGGGUUUAGUUCUUUAAACAG
This 26-nucleotide non-coding RNA is filed under the name Mus musculus (house mouse). The record is from RNAcentral. Lineage: Eukaryota; Metazoa; Chordata; Mammalia; Rodentia; Muridae.